CUGCCUUUCUGUUGAUUAGAAUUAGGUGUCGUGGGGAUGUUCCUAUGGUUGGCUCUGUUCCGCUAUUCCCGUGCGUGGAAUCGGCAGCAAAGCGGAGGAAUUUCAGGCGAAGGAAGGAUUUGACCGGCAGCUCGGGUGCCCGCCCCCUGGGGGUCUGAAAUCGUGGCCGCCCGCGUCCCCCAGAAGGUGCUGCAGUUCGCCGGCAUCGAUGAUGUCUUCACUUCCUCUCGUGGAUCCACCAAGGUAGAGGGACAAAAAUUCAAGAUUCAAAUGAGCAACUCAAAUUCAGGAUUUGAGUUACCAACGUAAUGUCUACGACUAGCUGAUGGUUCAAGAGUUCAAAGAAAGUCAAGCCUAAUGGAAUACUACACAUGCCCAUGCUGCUAUAUGCCAAGGGAUGAUAAUUCUUGCGCGAUUAUGAAAAGUACCAAUAGAGUGAGAACAAGAUGGGGCCAAAGAGGCAACAUAUAUGAGCAUAGAAGGUAGCAGGAUAAAUGACAUUUAUGUACUGAAGAACAGUGGCUGAGUAAGUCUCAUCAUCCUAGAAGACUAAAUAAUGACAUGUUUACUUCAGUUAAGCUUGACUGGAGAAUAAAAUGCUUUCCUUGUUAUGUUCUUUAUUACUUCACUCUCAGUAAUUCCUUGUCUGUAACUGUUGUUUCUUCAGUUGCAUAUCUCCGUGAUCAGCUUAAGUAGUAGACA
Molecule: long non-coding RNA, 702 nt
Organism: Triticum dicoccoides
Lineage: Eukaryota; Viridiplantae; Streptophyta; Magnoliopsida; Poales; Poaceae
Exons: 4
Source: RefSeq, a predicted model, not a curated record